This is a long non-coding RNA of Syzygium oleosum, 905 nucleotides long. RefSeq lists it as uncharacterized. Lineage: Eukaryota; Viridiplantae; Streptophyta; Magnoliopsida; Myrtales; Myrtaceae. The transcript is spliced from 2 exons. The record is from RefSeq and is a predicted model, not a curated record.
CUCGCUCACUUUGGUUGCUUCGCUUUCCUUCAGACGGAUCGCUAGCCUCUCUUGCUCGCUUUGGUUGCUUUGCUCUCCUUCGGACGAAUCGCUCGCUCGUUUGCUUCGAUGGUUCACUUCGCUCGUUCCCUCGCUCAACUACAGGUCAAUCCAAAGUUUAAGGCUUUUAGGACGAAAGGCAUACAUCCUGAUCUUGGAGAGAAGUUAGAUAUGAUAUUUAGAGAUACAGUUGCUACUGGAGGAGUCACAUAGAAUCCUGGGCAAGGCUUAUGUAUUAAUAAUGAUAAUGAGGUCACACAACCUGGUAUCAAUGAUGGCGUAGGAUCUACUAAUGAAAAUUUGGAGUGUCAUGUAGAUGAAACCAUUGUUGAACCAAUUGGACCUCAAAGCUGUAAAAGAGCCGCGCAAACUUCAACAAGGCAAGCUCAAGGAAAAAAAGAUAAGAAAUUGAGCACAAGAGAAGAGCUUGGGACGCAAAUUAACAGGCUAGUUGCAGCUGUUGAAAGUAGAAGAAAUGCCACUGCCACAUCUCAAGCAACCACCAAUGUAGUCGGCCCUUACAAAGACCUCAUAGAUAUAUUGGAUACCAUAACUGAGAUUGUGGAAGACGAAAUGUUGUACUAUUUUGCAAUCUCUCAUUUGAAGGAAAAGAUAGACAAUAGGCAGGUUGUCAUGAGCUUAAAGGAUGAUGCAAAAAGAGUCAAGUAUCUCAAGUAUGAGUUUGGAAGACAAUCAGGUCUUCGUAGAUAGGAUGUUAGCAUCUUAUUAUUUUCAUGUUUGAAGGGAGUCAUGCUACUUUUUUUUCCUGUUUGAAGAGAGUGAUGUUACUUUGUUUCUAUUGAUGGAUCUUUAUUUGCAUUCCUAUGAACCCAAUUUCUAUUAAUGUUUUAAUGUGAGAAUUGUUU